GUCCCCAUAGCUUAACUGGAUAAAGCGUAGCCCUCCGGAGGCUGAAAUCCCUGUUCGAGUCAGGGCGGGGACA
This 73-nucleotide transfer RNA is filed under the name bacterium. RNAcentral describes it as "tRNA-Arg". It matches the Rfam family "tRNA". Rfam says of the family: Transfer RNA (tRNA) molecules are approximately 80 nucleotides in length. Their secondary structure includes four short double-helical elements and three loops (D, anti-codon, and T loops). Further hydrogen bonds mediate the characteristic L-shaped molecular structure. tRNAs have two regions of fundamental functional importance: the anti-codon, which is responsible for specific mRNA codon recognition, and the 3' end, to which the tRNAs corresponding amino acid is attached (by aminoacyl-tRNA synthetases). tRNAs cope with the degeneracy of the genetic code in two manners: having more than one tRNA (with a specific anti-codon) for a particular amino acid; and 'wobble' base-pairing, i.e. permitting non-standard base-pairing at the 3rd anti-codon position. The record is from RNAcentral.